RNAcentral lists this ribosomal RNA (468 nucleotides) under uncultured bacterium. Its description in RNAcentral is "partial 16S ribosomal RNA". It matches the Rfam family "Bacterial small subunit ribosomal RNA", at positions 28 to 507 of the family's 1533-position model. The record is from RNAcentral.
GACGAACGCUGGCGGCGUGCUUAACACAUGCAAGUCGAACGGAAAGGCCCGGCUUUUGUUGGGUGCUCGAUUGGCGAACGGGUGAGUAACACGUGAGUAACCUGCCCUUGACUUUGUGAUAACUUCAGGAAACUGGGGCGAAUACCCGAUAGGAUCUCCUGCAGCAUGUGGGGGAUUGGUGAGUUUCGGCUUUUGUGGAUGGACUCGCGGCUUAUCAGCUUGUUGGUGGGGUAGUGGCUUACCACGGCUUUGACGGGUAGCCGGCCUGAGAGGGUGACCGGCCACAUUGGGACUGAGAUACGGACCAGAAUCAUACGGGAGGCAGCAGUGGGGAAUAUUGCACAAUGGGGGGAAGUCUGAUGCAGAAACGCCGCGUGCGGGAUGACGGCCUUCGGGUUGUAAACAGAUUUCGACUGUGACGAAGAGUGAGUGACGGUAAUGGGUAAAGAAGCAACGGCUAACUACGUG